This 1107-nucleotide long non-coding RNA is filed under the name Sinocyclocheilus anshuiensis. Its description in RNAcentral is "lncRNA (ENSSANG00000024215.1)". The record is from RNAcentral. Lineage: Eukaryota; Metazoa; Chordata; Actinopteri; Cypriniformes; Cyprinidae.
GUGUUUACUGUAAAACAAAAAGCAGAAGAAUGUCGUCAUUUGAGAAACUCUUUUGGACCUUUGACUGGCGUCCAGCUUGUUAAUCUGUCACCCACUUUAAAUAUUACGCCUAACUUCUGGAUGGUGCUCACUUUAGUUCGUGUUUAUAGAAUGUUUGUAGAUGAUACAAUAGUAAGGUAACAGUAAAUAGUUUCAGUCUUUGAUUCAGGUCACAUGAUUCGUGUCAUAUGACACUGAUGAGAGCAGAAAUCUUCCACAGUUACCAAUAAUACACUCUUUUACCAAUGCUGUCGUCUACCGUGAUGAAUCCAGAUGGCUAAACAGAUGUGGGGACUCCUGAAGUAAAUCGCUGGAUCAUGGAGAGUUUGGGAGUUUUGUCCGUUCUCGCCACCGCUUGUGUUUUGGGAGUGGUGAUGAGUCAGACAACACUCAGUCCUGCUGUGACGAUCACCACAGUCAGUGCAAACAUGAGCUCUGCCGCUCCCAGCACUACAGCGCUCAGCUGCUCCGGCCUCAACACUUCCACCUGCGCUGCCUGCGCUCCUGGCUCUUAUUAUGAUAAUGAAACUCUGUUGUGUUCUUGCUGUCCUGAGGCCGGUCUGUGUGUGUUACCUGGAGCCUGUCUUCUGUGUGUCCAGGGUUUCUAUCAGCCUCUAGCAGGACAGCAGGGCUGUCUGCCCUGUUUAUCUGGGUUUUACAGCAAUUCCACUGGAAGCCCCUUCUGCCAGCCAUGUCCUACUGGGUCCUACAGCAGUAACACAGGCUCUGCCUCCUGUACAGCCUGUGCACCAGGUUUCUACACAUCUUUGCAAAAUUCAACAUCAUGUAACCCAUGUCCACAAGGCACGUACUGCAAUUCCUCCAGCUGUACUCAGUGCCGGGUCUGUCCUGCAGGCUCAGAGGCUCUACAGACCGCUUCCAAAGAAUGUACACCUUGUCGCCCAGGAAUGCACAAGCCUGCCCAUCAAACCAUGUGUCAGAUUUGCAGCAGUGGUUUCUAUCAGAUCCACUGGGGCCAGGAGAACUGUGACCUUUGUCCUGAAAAACACACACACACACACACACACACACACAGUCUUUACUGUUACCACUUAAAUUGUUCCUCUU